GGGACUAUGGAUUAGUGGUAGAACAUCUGCUUUGCAUGCACAAAGUCCCAGAUUCAGUUCCUGGCAUUUCCA
RNAcentral lists this transfer RNA (72 nucleotides) under Sphaerodactylus townsendi. RNAcentral's name for it is "tRNA-Ala". It matches the Rfam family "tRNA". From Rfam's summary of the family: Transfer RNA (tRNA) molecules are approximately 80 nucleotides in length. Their secondary structure includes four short double-helical elements and three loops (D, anti-codon, and T loops). Lineage: Eukaryota; Metazoa; Chordata; Lepidosauria; Squamata; Sphaerodactylidae. The record is from RNAcentral.